RNAcentral lists this ribosomal RNA (477 nucleotides) under uncultured bacterium. Its description in RNAcentral is "bacterial SSU rRNA". It matches the Rfam family "Bacterial small subunit ribosomal RNA", at positions 329 to 797 of the family's 1533-position model. The record is from RNAcentral.
GAGUGGACUCCUACGGGAGGCAGCAGUGGGGAAUCUUCCGCAAUGGGCGAAAGCCUGACGGAGCAACGCCGCGUGAGUGAAGACGGCCUUCGGGUUGUAAAGCUCUGUUAUACGGGACGAAAAAUCUUGUGGUUAAUACCCAUAAGAAGUGACGGUACUGUAAGAGAAAGCCACGGCUAACUACGUGCCAGCAGCCGCGGUAAUACGUAGGUGGCAAGCGUUGUCCGGAAUUAUUGGGCGUAAAGGGCGCGCAGGCGGCUUCUUAAGUCUGUCUUAAAAGUGCGGGGCUUAACCCCGUGAUGGGAUGGAAACUGGGAAGCUCAGAGUAUCGGAGAGGAAAGCGGAAUUCCUAGUGUAGCGGUGAAAUGCGUAGAUAUUAGGAGGAACACCAGUGGCGAAAGCGGCUUUCUGGACGAAAACUGACGCUGAGGCGCGAAAGCCAGGGGAGCGAACGGGAUUAGAUACCCCGGUAGUCCU